GCCGGGAUGGCAGAGCGGCCUAAUGCGCUGGUCUUAAGAACCGAUGGUUCAUCCGAUCCACAUGGGUUCGAAUCCCAUUCCCGGCG
RNAcentral lists this transfer RNA (86 nucleotides) under Candidatus Methanoperedens sp. Its description in RNAcentral is "tRNA-Leu". It matches the Rfam family "tRNA". From Rfam's summary of the family: Transfer RNA (tRNA) molecules are approximately 80 nucleotides in length. Their secondary structure includes four short double-helical elements and three loops (D, anti-codon, and T loops). Further hydrogen bonds mediate the characteristic L-shaped molecular structure. tRNAs have two regions of fundamental functional importance: the anti-codon, which is responsible for specific mRNA codon recognition, and the 3' end, to which the tRNAs corresponding amino acid is attached (by aminoacyl-tRNA synthetases). tRNAs cope with the degeneracy of the genetic code in two manners: having more than one tRNA (with a specific anti-codon) for a particular amino acid; and 'wobble' base-pairing, i.e. permitting non-standard base-pairing at the 3rd anti-codon position. The record is from RNAcentral. Lineage: Archaea; Methanobacteriati; Methanobacteriota; Methanomicrobia; Methanosarcinales; Candidatus Methanoperedentaceae.